UACGUAGGGCGCAAGCGUUGUCCGGAAUCAUUGGGCGUAAAGCGCACGUAGGCGGUUCGUUAUGUCGGAUGUGAAAUCCCACGGCUCAACCGUGGAAGUGCACUCGAAACUGCAUAGCUAGAGUCCUGGAGAGGAAGGUGGAAUGCUUGGUGUAGAGGUGAAAUUCGUAGAUAUCAAGCGGAACACCGGGUGGCGAAGGCGGCCUCUGGACAGUGACUGACGCUGAGACGGCGAAAAGCGUGGGGAGCAAACAGGGAUUAAGAA
This 264-nucleotide ribosomal RNA is filed under the name uncultured bacterium. RNAcentral describes it as "partial 16S ribosomal RNA". It matches the Rfam family "Bacterial small subunit ribosomal RNA", at positions 524 to 784 of the family's 1533-position model. The record is from RNAcentral.